AUUGAACGCUGGCGGCAGGCCUAACACAUGCAAGUCGAGCGAGCGGCGGACGGGUGAGUAAUGUAUGGGGACUGCCCGAUAGAGGGGGGUAACUCCUGGAAACGGUAGCUAAUACCGCAUACUAUCGGCUAACCCAGAUGGGAUUAGCUAGUAGGUGAGGUAAUGGCUCACCUGGGCGACGAACCCCAGCUGGUCUGAGAGGAUGAUCAGCCACACUGGAACUGAGACACGGCCCAGACUCCUACGGAGGCAGCAGUGGGGAAUAUUGCACAAUGGGCGCAAGCCUGAUGCAGCCAUGCCGCGUGUAUGAAGAAGGCCCUAGGGUUGUAAAGUACUUUCAGUCGGGAGGCGUUACCGACAGAAGAAGCACCGGCUAACUCCGUGCCAGCAGCCGCGGUAAUAC
Molecule: ribosomal RNA, 403 nt
Filed under: uncultured bacterium
Lineage: Bacteria
Description: partial 16S ribosomal RNA
Rfam family: Bacterial small subunit ribosomal RNA
Source: RNAcentral